Mauremys reevesii (Reeves's turtle) is the source of this 919-nucleotide long non-coding RNA. RefSeq lists it as uncharacterized. The transcript has 4 exons. The record is from RefSeq and is a predicted model, not a curated record. Lineage: Eukaryota; Metazoa; Chordata; Testudines; Geoemydidae.
GACUAAUUACUACUCCUCUCUUUGUAGCCAUUUGUCCCGGGUUUGCCACAGCUCACUAUAUCAACGUUGCUGCAUACUAACCAACAAUUCCAAAUUUCAUCUGAGAUGGUUAUCUCUUUCAGUGGUGAUGGAAGGUGAGAACAGCCCACGCACCAAGAACUUAAAGGAGUGUGUCUCGGAGCCUGAGAACCAGCUGGAAGGGGAGCCUGAUGAUUCAAAUAUGAUGCUAAGCAAUCAGGAGAUAAGGAUCCCUUCACUCAAGGCCUCAACCACACAUUGACUAGAAGCCGUUUUAAUGCAGCCUGCUGAACUGUCUCCACAUGGCCUUUGCCAUACACCAGCUGAGAGCUCAGUUCCUGGGACCUGCUGUAUGUGCCUACCAUUUCUGAAGCAGGAGGAGAGACAAGGAAGACAAGAAGGAUGAAAGAGCCACGCUGAAAGGAAAAGGAGAAGAGAACAGGCAGCAGAGAUGUAAGCUCUCCCAAUAAAUCCUUGCUUCAAGUAGAGACCCCAACAACCAGUAGUCUAGUAGCAUCCCCUCCAAUCUGUCACGGAGAUAAGGCUGGGACUCUUUUCCUUCCCUACCUGGAAUACUGCAAGCCCCUCAAGACUCUGUGCUUUCAACUCAAUUCCUGCCGCAGCCACAUUUCCUCCUCCAGCCAGCCUAUAGUGUGGAUUCCCCAAGCAGUGAGCCCUAUUAUAGUGAGCCUGUCCUCCUGCUGAACUACUUCAUUGCUAUACCUUUUGUGGCACAUGCGCGUGCGCACAAACAGUUCUUCUCUAUUGGUGAUUUCUUUCUACACUCCUGCUGGCAUUUUUAAAUAAACUUGAAUUGUGCCUGUUCUCACGUUGUGCUUUGUGGGAUCCCACUGAACAGCUCACAUAGUACCAGUCACAUGGUACCUUCCAAGUCCCCCCG